Molecule: ribosomal RNA, 440 nt
Filed under: uncultured bacterium
Lineage: Bacteria
Description: partial 16S ribosomal RNA
Rfam family: Bacterial small subunit ribosomal RNA
Source: RNAcentral
CCUACGGGAGGCUGCAGUGAGGAAUAUUGGGCAAUGGAGGCAACUCUGACCCAGCCAUGCCGCGUGAGUGAAGAAGGUUUUCGGAUUGUAAAGCUCUUUCGGAUGUGACGAUGAUGACGGUAGCAUCUAAAGAAGCCCCGGCUAACUUCGUGCCAGCAGCCGCGGUAAUACGAAGGGGGCAAGCGUUGUUCGGAAUUACUGGGCGUAAAGGGAGUGUAGGCGGUUUAGUAAGAUAGUGGUGAAAUCCCAGGGCUUAACUUUGGAAUUGCCAUUAUAACUAUUAGACUAGAAUUACAGAGAGGAUAGUGGAAUUCCAGGUGUAGGAGUGAAAUCCGUAGAUAUCUGGAGGAACAUCAGUGGCGAAGGCGACUAUCUGGCACAUAACUGACGCUGAGGAGCGAAAGCGUGGGUAGCAAACAGGAUUAGAUACCCUUGUAGUC